Molecule: long non-coding RNA, 299 nt
Filed under: Solanum tuberosum (potato)
Lineage: Eukaryota; Viridiplantae; Streptophyta; Magnoliopsida; Solanales; Solanaceae
Description: long non-coding RNA (STUB_LNC006372)
Source: RNAcentral
CGGGUUUCAUUUGAGUAAUUAUUUAACAUUGUGCCUACACAACAUGGUUUUUUGGUUGAAAAAAGGAUAAUUGGUCAAGUUAUAGCCUAUUUAGGUUUUAACAAAAUUCAAAAAAUUAAUCACCAAUCAAAAGCAAUUCUCAAAAUAAAGAGAAAGGGUCAAGAUAAACGUCAAAUUUAAGGAGAAGAAAAAGGGAAUUAAUGUGAUCAACCACCCAAAGUUAUAAUGUAAAUUGCAUUACAAAAUAGAAUAAGGGUGAAGCUGAUCAGUGUAUAUUCUAUGUUGCUUCAUGGUUACGA